Molecule: ribosomal RNA, 400 nt
Filed under: uncultured bacterium
Lineage: Bacteria
Description: bacterial SSU rRNA
Rfam family: Bacterial small subunit ribosomal RNA
Source: RNAcentral
UGGGGAAUCUUGGACAAUGGGCGCAAGCCUGAUCCAGCCAUGCCGCGUGAGUGAAGAAGGCCUUCGGGUUGUAAAGCUCUUUUGUCAGGGACGAUAAUGACGGUACCUGAAGAAUAAGCCCCGGCAAACUUCGUGCCAGCAGCCGCGGUAAUACGAAGGGGGCUAGCGUUGUUCGGAAUUACUGGGCGUAAAGCGCACGUAGGCUGAUAGUUAAGUGAGGGGUGAAAUCCCGAGGCUCAACCUCGGAACUGCCCUUCAUACUGGCUAUCUCGAGUCCGGAAGAGGUUAGUGGAAUUCCCAGUGUAGAGGUGAAAUUCGUAGAUAUUGGGAAGAACACCAGUGGCGAAGGCGGCUAACUGGUCCGGUACUGACGCUGAGGUGCGAAAGCGUGGGGAGCAAA